Molecule: long non-coding RNA, 4200 nt
Filed under: Triticum aestivum (bread wheat)
Lineage: Eukaryota; Viridiplantae; Streptophyta; Magnoliopsida; Poales; Poaceae
Description: long non-coding RNA (TAES_LNC011438)
Source: RNAcentral
CUCAAACCCUCGCCCACUUUCUACAUCCGCCGCCGCCACGCUCGAGCUCUCUCCCCGCCGCCACGCUCGAGAUCUGCAGCCGGACGCGUGCUGUCCAACCGGCCGGGACGCCGCCCCUUCUCCCUCUCCCUCCAUCCUCCAUGCUAUCCACCGCCGACCCCACUACAUACUGCCGCCGCCAUGCGCUCGCCUGCCCUCCACCGGUAGGUGCUCUCUCCGCCGUGAUGUGCUCGAGCACCCUCGGCUGUCAGGUGGUCUCUCCUCCUGUUCCAUGUAUCCCCCUCCCCUAUCGCUCACCACGGGAACGCAUCCCGGAAAUCCCACUCCAAACCCUAGCAUGCAGAUCUCUGUCUAUUCGCUUGAUUGACCAGAGCAGCAGAUUGGAUCGAGGGCGGCCACAUGAGCGUACCCCCGCCGCAUUCGCCUAGACUUGCGUCGCUCCUGCCUGGAAUCGUUUUGCUACUUCGUGGUGUGGCCUUGCCGUCGCGUGGGGUCGCAGCCACCCGUCGCCACUCGCCAGCAAGGUUACUUUCUUACCAAUCCCUGCUCUCCUCGGUCCUCCCGUGCUGCUAUGGUCCUCCGCUGUACCGGGCGUUUGCUUGCUUCUGCCGUACUGCUUGCUUGCUGGCUGCUGGGCUGUGUGCGUGCUUGCUUGCUGGGUGUCGGGGUGCUAACACUUUUAAUUUCCAUUAGCUUCUCUUAUAUGCAACUAUGAAUCUAUGAUGUAUAUUGAUAUUGCUGGCUGAUGGUGACCUGCUGAUGGUGCUGCUAUGCUGGCUUAGGGAGUGACAUAUCGACAUUGGCAUCUGCGAGCAGUGGCAAUGAUAUUAUAACAGGUAAACAAUCUUCGAUUGGUGGGACAAUUACUGUUAAGUUUAUCUCAAAGUCUAGUGCUAGCUAGCAUAUGAUGUAUCGCUGUAACAUUAGUCCACGAGGAACUGAGGAUUGAGGAAAUUGAUGAUCAUUCGGUCAUCGAGGACUUGGAAAGAGGCAUCGGGGCAACAAAUGGGAUAGUAUUUUGAUCUCAUUUCACACAUUCAAUAAUUCUUUUGUCUUUAUUACAUGGCAUUUUAUUAAUAUUUAUAUAUGCUUGCCUCAUCGCCAUAUGUCUGUUUCUAGAAAUUGUUGUAUCCCUUGUCCCUGUAUUAGUAUCGUUGUUUCAUGUCUCUUUUGUUCCCACCGGUGUGGCCUCAUAGUUUUCCGAGCAAGAAACACAAUCUGAAUAAGCAAAAGUGAAGUUUAUCUGCUGGGAUUGAAGUUGACAAAAGUAGCUAGAAGUGAUUCUUUUUUGAGGGCACUAGCUCUCUCCUAGUAGAACCUAUCUAUAUUGUUGGUUUUCAUGUUUGUUGGCAGUCGGAAAAAUCUCACUAUAAAUUGGUCAAAUAUAGAAACCUAGUUGAAAUUCCCAAUCCAUCUAUAGACACCUGAAAUUAUCAUGAAAAUAGAGCUAAUAUUGACCUGAUGUUGCAUUAACAGGAAGCAAACAAACUGUUGGAUUUAUGUCUUACUGUAGAAGAAUCUAUUGUUGAUGUGAUUUGCGCACCAGCCACAGUUUAACCACUACUAUGUCAAUCUCCCUUCGCUUGUCACGUUUAGACUCAUUUUACUGGCCUAUAUAUUGCUCUAAACCUUGUCUUGUCACCAUAGGUUGGUGCUUUGUGUGUUGUUCUAUUUUUUAAAAAGAUGGAACCUAGAGAGGCUAGAGUUCGUGCAAUGUAACUGCUAAUGAUCAUGUUCUGUGAGAAGUUUCAUUGUCAUGAAUCUGUAGGGACCUCUUUUCUUCAAACAAAAAAGGGAAGAAUAGUGUACACGAAUGAGAAAUAAUGAGAACAAGAGGAAGAGCCCCCAUUAGAUAGGUGGAAAGUUAAUGAAUAUAGCUGAUGUAUUUUGGAGAUAAACACAACUCUAAUUCAGUAUCUAAUUAUCUACAAAGUAAAACUCAUAAUUAUAAUAUUUGCACAAUUGGUUCAAGCGAGGCACUCAUAUACUGUGUGUUUUUUAGUAGGAGGAAAAAUGGCAAGCGCAAGCGGCAAGGGAUCCCUCAUUUUCUUCUAGCACUAACCUAUCUAUGCAGACACCCUCCCACGCACCUGUAACUACGUUGAUGAAUGGGAUGAUGAAGGGAUUUUCUUUCGUAGAAGAGUUGUUGCAAAGGGUAACCCAUUACUCGUGGCCUCCCCAUUUGUGUCACAAUCAAUGCAUUUUUAUGCACAACCUGACUGUAGUAGACCUUACAGAAGCUACCACAAAGUUAAUAUUUGUACCUUUGCUAAAUGAACUGUCGCUAUGAGUGUGUGUCAUUUAAGAGCACCCUUCUGAUGGUGUCAUAUCACCAUGGAUACUCAGUUUUGCUUAGAUAAACAUGUGCAUGAUAUUGUCUCCUAACCAUACAAAUUAUACUAAUAGAUCAAUAUGCCACUUGAUACUGACAUGUGGUACACACCUGAUGAGUGUACAUUGUGUUGGUUAUGCAAUACAUUAUGGCUAUGCCCCUUGUCUUGCUCCUAGACUUUUGGGGGAUUAAGCACUUUACCAUGCCCUUUCACAUUAGUGUAUGUGUAUUAAUAAGGUCGUGUAUGUGGGUGUGUACGAACGCGUGAAUGUGUCAUGUGCUCCUUUAAGGAAUGGAAUUGGAUUUCAAGUCACUGAUUAAAUGUUUGAUGUGGUCAAAGACACCAUCCUUUAAAGAGAAAUCCUAACAAAAUGCGGACAUGGUGAACAAUUUAACUUGGGGAUAUUUAUAUGGGUUGAGCCCAUGCCUGUUUACUUAGCCGCUGACAACAAAGAAGUUCUUCUUCUAGGCAAUCCUGUAAGGCUAAAUCAGAACACUUGAAUGUCCAGCAAUCAUUAGUUUUAGUGCCAUAAAUGUACUCUUAUGUAUCGUUUUCAUAUUCCUCUACUCCAGCUUUGAAAUAAGCAACCUCAUAACUUGAAACACUGUUCAGCUCUAAAAGAAGACAUAGGCUCUUAAUUGGGAGGUUAUGUUCAUUUUCAAUCCGAAGGAAACAAAAGACAAUGGAAUGAAAUAUAGAAACAUACAUUGUGCUGCUAACUUAUUAUAAAACCUCCAAGUGUGGACACAGUGAUCUAACUCAUGACUUUAGUAGAAUAGAACUAUGUUCUUGGUUUAAGAGUGAUGAAGAAAAAUAGGAAUUGACACAUUUGCCUUAUUUUUUGUGGUUGAUGCCCUUUCUAUCCUUGGUACAUUAUAUGAUGGGGUAGCAGUAGUGGACGGCCUGAAUGACAUAAAACACCAGCAUGUCGAUGUUAUUGGUGUGAGAGAUCUUUGUCAUAUUAAGAUAUGCAUGGUGGUUUAACAUACUGCAUCUGGCCAACUGCGCGGAGCUAGAUGAAGCGGCUGCACGUACAGUAGAGAAAAGAGAAGAAACAAGUGAGAGACGCAUAGAUAAUGGUGAUGUUGUGCCGCACGGCUUACAUGCAAAAGUAACAGCAAGCACACCUAUGCUAGAUGCGGUGCCAUAACUGAGAUAAAAUAUAUGCACUGAUUUCUUAGCUCACCGCCUAUGUUGUACUACUGUAUAUAUAAUGAAUGCACCUCUUUACUCCCCCUUUUUUUUCCUAAGUUAGCUAAGAAUGACAAUUGACUAGGAUUUUUUUUCUCUUCGUCAAGUCAUUGAGCUGAUUCACAAUGCUCAUUUGACCCCUAACACACCAAAGUUAGUGUUGGUCUAAUUUAAAAUAGAGUGCAGGAAACUUGGGAGUUAGUUUCCUAUAGAGUAAUACUUAUUCUAUAUGCAGCAAUUCAGUUGCCUUGUCUGAAUAGUUCGUUUGAUGCUAUGCUAUGCUUUAUACAAAUUUUUAUGGUGCCAUUGUCUUUAUGAACGUAUGAUUUUAAUUGCGACUUCUUUGUCUUUUGUAGGAACAUGCAAAAGAGGACGACGAACCAUGAAGUUGACAGUUUGCGUCAACUGGAUAUUUUUUGUAUUUUUUAAUGGUGACUAAACUAUUGGUGAUGCAUUUUAGCUAUCAUUUUGUAAACCUAUGGUGUCUUGGACAGUGAACCACAAUGUUUCCUCUAUUUAAUUAGUUACCUUAGUUUAUCGGAAAUUUGGAUUGUAAUUAUGCCCAUAACAGAUGAACUAUUUAUGUGUGAGAAUUAAUUAAUGUAUGUUCUAGUUUAAUAUUGUUGCUGGAAAUGUGUGUUAUUAUUGUUAGAAGAUAUGUAACUUGAUAAUGGAC